This 253-nucleotide ribosomal RNA is filed under the name uncultured bacterium. Its description in RNAcentral is "partial 16S ribosomal RNA". It matches the Rfam family "Bacterial small subunit ribosomal RNA", at positions 524 to 776 of the family's 1533-position model. The record is from RNAcentral.
UACGUAGGUGGCAAGCGUUGUCCGGAUUUAUUGGGUUUAAAGGGUGCGUAGGCGGUUGAUUAAGUCAGUGGUGAAAGACGGUCGCUCAACGAUUGCAUUGCCAUUGAUACUGAUUUACUUGAGUAGAGAUGAGGUGGGCGGAAUUGAUAGUGUAGCGGUGAAAUGCAUAGAUAUUAUCAAGAACUCCGAUUGCGAAGGCAGCUCACUGGGUUCUAACUGACGCUGAGGCACGAGAGUGUGGGUAUCAAACAGG